Molecule: unclassified non-coding RNA, 433 nt
Filed under: soil metagenome
Description: partial contains 5.8S ribosomal RNA, internal transcribed spacer 2, and large subunit ribosomal RNA
Rfam family: 5.8S ribosomal RNA (bases 1-120)
Source: RNAcentral
GAUGAAGAACGUAGCGAAAUGCGAUACGUAAUGUGAAUUGCAGAAUUCAGUGAAUCAUCGAAUCUUUGAACGCAUAUUGCGCUCUCUGGUAUUCCGGAGAGCAUGCUCGUUUGAGUAUCAGUAAACACCUCAACUUCCAUAUCUUUUUUGAAAUGGGAGUUGGACUUGAGUGAUCCCAACGCUUUUCCUCACCGAAAAGUGGCGGGUUACUUGAAAUGCAGGUGCAGCUGGACUUUUCUCUGAGCUAUAAGAAUAUCUAUUUAGUCUGCCUAAAAAACAGAUUAUUACCUUUGCUGCAGCUAACAUAAAGGAGAUUAGUUCUUGUGCUGACUGAUGCAGGAUUCACAAAGACAGGCUUCGGCCGACUUUGUAAACUCGAUCUCAAAUCAAGUAAGACUACCCGCUGAACUUAAGCAUAUCAAUAAGCGGAGGA